CAUGCAAGUCGAGCGGUAGAGAGGUGCUUGCAUCUCUUGAGAGCGGCGGACGGGUGAGUAAUGCCUAGGAAUCUGCCUAGUGGUGGGGGAUAACGUUCGGAAACGACGCUAAUACCGCAUACGGUCCUACGGGAGAAAGCGGGGGAUCUUCGGACCUCGCGCCAUUAGAUGAGCCUAGGUCGGAUUAGCUAGUUGGUGAGGUAAUGGCUCACCAAGGCGACGAUCCGUAACUGGGUCUGAGAGGAUGAUCAGUCACACUGGAACUGAGACACGGUCCCAGACUCCUACGGGAGGCAGCAGUGGGGAAUAUUGGACAAUGGGCGAAAGCCUGAUCCAGCCAUGCCGCGUGUGUGAAGAAGGUCUUCGGAUUGUAAAGCACUUUAAGUUGGGAGGAAGGGUAGUAACCUAAUACGUUGCUGCUUUGACGUUACCGACAGAAUAAGCACCGGCUAACUUCGUG
Molecule: ribosomal RNA, 460 nt
Filed under: uncultured bacterium
Lineage: Bacteria
Description: bacterial SSU rRNA
Rfam family: Bacterial small subunit ribosomal RNA
Source: RNAcentral